RNAcentral lists this long non-coding RNA (1342 nucleotides) under Pavo cristatus (Indian peafowl). RNAcentral's name for it is "lncRNA (ENSPSTG00000003106.1)". The record is from RNAcentral. Lineage: Eukaryota; Metazoa; Chordata; Aves; Galliformes; Phasianidae.
CCUCCCGGCGCGGCUGCUUCCGGUGGGGAUUGCGGAGCGAGCGCUGGGCCUCGCGGGAGUGCGGACCGCGCGGCUUGGCGUUGGUCUACCCGAGCAAAAGGCUGCCCUGUCGCGCUGUGUUCCCUUUUGCCACAUUCGUUCCCAGCAUAACCGGCACGCUCAGUCUGCGUUCUCUCCGUUCCUCUGUUGUGUUCGGCGCUCGGAGCACAAUGCCGGUGCCGGCCCUCUGCCACUCAGCGGCCGAAGUGGGAAAGGAGAGGAGCCGUGCCCGCAAGGCGCUGCGCAGGAGGGGGUGUAAAAUGGCGCCGCGUUUGUACGUGGAUGCGUUUCUGAUCAUGAGCAAACUUCAAUAGUAGAGACUCACCGUACAGUGCUUCCGUGAGAGGAAUCUCUGAUGGACUCAGAUAAUUUGUGGCAAUGGAUUUUGCAUGGGAGAUGUAUCUCCGGAGACUCCUGUUAGCCCCGGGUGUUUAAGGAGCAAUUACCCACGCGUGCUGCUGGUUCAUAAAGCUGGCGUUACCCUCAUGUAGAUCUGAAUAUCGGCGUCGUGCCGCGUUUACUGAACGUAGAUAAGCAGCUAAUGCUCACAGGGCACGUGCAGGUCGGUUCCGUGUGCCACGCAGCGUAACAGGCCGGAGCUGGAAGGAGAAUUCGGACCUGACACUCUCCUGACCUCCCUUCGGCAUUGCCAGGGUCUCCGCCGCGUUAGCAGAGCGCAACCCUUUGAGCGGCAGCACGAUACUCCUGCAGCGGCCUGGGCUAACUGAGUCUGUUAGAGGUGCGGAGGCGCACAGCGGUUCCCGGAGCUCCGUGCCGUGCCGGCAGGUGGCAGGGCAGCUCGGCGUUCCGCAAUGCCGCUCCGCCCGGCGCUGGGUGGAGGCGCCGUGGUGCGUGUGCGUGCGCGUGGGGAAUGCCCUCGGCGGGGUUACUGCCGCGGGUGGGGUUCCAAAUGAGAGGGAAGUGGAAGCGGGCUGCGCGUCUGUGUGCUGUGAGGGAAGGGAGGAAUUAAAGCACCCUGAAGCCCUGCUUCCAAUAUGAGGCCUUGGAGAACUAAUUUUCAUCGCAGCUCUGUGCAUGAAGACUGACUGUACAGAGCGAGACCCACAGGUCAGUGUAGCGAAUGUGCUGUUUGCUGUGUUGGAUGCUCAGCUGGUUCCGUUAAGGUGACGUGUAGGGUCAUCUUCCUUUCCUUUCCCACCAAAACAACCCCUUUUCCUUUGGUCACCAAUGACUAUAUGGGGAGUUGGGGAGAUACAAAUAGCUGAGCAGACAAGUAGCAUAGUAACAAAUCAAAUUAAAUCUCUAAUAAAUAUUUGUAAGAGCUACAUAUAGCUGAAGCAUA